CGAUGUGCUGUUGGAUGACACUCGCGUCGGUGCUUUCAGACGCAAUCAGAAAGUAUAGGAGGUUAGAUCGUAUAAUUCGCGUUAACGACCAAGUAUCCACCUCCAAUAUCUUCUUGCGUUUAAUAAAUUCUACGGUAAUAAAUCCGUAAGUGUAACUUAACAAAUAAAAAAAAAAUGACUAAAAAUUCGUGACAUUUUAAGAGAUUGGCACAAACGAUGCAUUGCUUCGUUUUCGCCACGUGAAUACUGCCGUCCGUCUUAUCGUUUAUAUACCGGUAAUAAUUUACUCCAUUCGUUCAUUUUGUUUUAUUUUAUUUCAUUUCAACUUUUGGAAAUUAGUUUGAAUUCGAAGAAACAAAAUAUUUAGGUAGACAAAAAAAUUUACCAUAUUAUGUAUUAUGUGCUUAUUUUAAAUAUCUUAAAGAGAUUUAUCAAAUAUAAGUUUUAAAGAUCUUGCUAUUGAAGAUUUCAAAAACUAAACGAAAAACGUGACAAAAAGUAUAUGUAGAAGAUUGUGCGCGUUCAUAAAAAAAAGGAACGUGUGUGCAUAAAGGCUCGUCAUUCCCAACAAGAAGAAAAUCUUUCUGUUUUAUUCCACUUUUUGGUGGAACGGUUCUGCAGUUCAAAAAAAAGAUAUCUAAAUGUGUUCCAUAGCGAUACCAGCUGAAUUGCUUCUGGGGCACAGUCCUCCAGUGUAUAGCUCGCUGUUAUACAGUCCUUUGGUGGUAACGGCACCAACAAUUACUAGCAGGUCGGUACCACCCAGAAUAAGGCCAUGCCUGUCAUCUGGUUCCUUGGCUAUAAACAACAUUCGAAACAGUAAUGAUGGUAGUAGUAAUAAACAGAAGAAAAGAGUGGUGUUUGCUGAUGAUCGUGGCCGUCCUCUUACUCAGGUACGCGUGAUGUCGGAACCUAGUAAUGUACCACCUUUGUGGAGCACAGCUUACUUGGCUGGAUUAACAGGGCGACUUUUAAAUUCGAAAAUUGAGAAUGAUCAAUCUAUAGAACUCGUAUCACCUUGGCAAGUAACUUUCCCUCAACCGGCGAGCGAUUAUUUAGCCUUCCGUCAGAAACUUGAUCAGGAGAAUGUCAGCUUGGAAAAUGUGAUAGUGAAAGAGUCGGAACAAUGUCUAGUAGGUACUAUCAAGGUACGUAAUCUGGCGUAUGACAAGGAAGUCGUGGUCAGGGUGAGCAACGAUUCUUGGAAGACACACGAGGACGUUCAUUGCACUUAUGUUGAACAACCGGGUUCUCCGGCCCUGAUUCUUUACGAUACCUUCCGCUUUCGAUUAACUCUACCAUUGAAAUCAAAUGUGAUAGAAUUCUGUGUACGAUAUCGAACCGAUGGAAAAGAAUAUUGGGACAACAACGAGGGAAAGAAUUUUAUCGUUCGAAAAAAGUUAGAGCCACGAGCACCACCCAAACGAUACGAUAUUCUGACAACGUGCGAUGGCUUUUCGAAGAAUAAUAAUCGAGAUAAUAUACCACGAAUCACAGAUGCAACCAAAGCGAACGUACGCACGUGGAGCGAGUUCGCAUCUUGGCAGCAUCUUGCGAAUGAUGCUCCAUACUGGUGAAUCUUCGUCACUGGUCACAAACGAUGUACGAAUGUCGUACGAAUUCUUCCAAUCUAUUUGAUUUAACGAUCACAAGAUGUAGACUAUGCGGGACGAGGUGGUAAUAUAUCUACGCAACGGCAUGCAUAAGAUUGUCGUACGUGUAAUAUUUACACGAUAGCGUGUAAAUGUAUGGACAUCAAGAUCAAGGGAACCCAGAAGAGAGCAAUGACAAAAGAAGGGAAGCGAUGGACUAAGUGAUUAAGUUCAAAUUAUAAAAGGACGUGCUUGAACGGAAGAAAGAGAGAUAUAGCCAAAAGUCAAUAGUACGGAACAGGCGAGAAAGGAGGCCCUAGUCGCGUUACAUUUAUGAUUGCAACGUGCAGAACAGACAUAUACAAUGUAUAGGAACACACAAUAACCGUGUAAGAGAGACAAUAUGCAUACAAAUAUACUAAAGAUCAUGGAUCUGGAUUGGAUGGAUGUUUGUUCUGAAGCUUCUCCAGACUUUCUACCAAUUUGGUCAUCAUACAUCUUCUCGUUCAUCGUCUUCCUUCUUUCCUCUUCCUCUUUUCUGAAACUUGGCUAUCAAUAGCUGAAGAUGUCCAUUAAGAUAAAUUUCCACCUUCGAAUUGACCAAAUCUCGCUGGUCUUGUCCGUUCCUCUUUUUCUUUCUUAAUAUUAUCUUCUUUUUCGCAUAUCCUUACUUCUUCUCUAUUUCUCUGUACUCUUUUUUUUUGUUUCUUUUCAACGUACAAACUUGUGCAAUUGUGUUAAUAGGAUUUUUUUUAAUGGGAUGGGCCAAGGGAUCUUAAAUAAGUAACGCAGAUUAAAACAAAGCUCAGAAAAUAAUCAAUUAUAUGAAAUAAAAGACAGAAUUAAAAGUAUGCCGAAUGUGCUUUCGAAUGAAAUAAUUAUUACAAUUUAAUGUUGUAAUGGAUCGCUAUUUUUUUUUAUUUUUAUUUUUUUUAAAUAAUAUUAUUUUACAUAAAAGUUUAGAUGUCAAUUAAAGUGAUCGUAACACUUAAAAUAGAAAAAUAACUAUAUGGAAAAAUAAUAAUUUCUGCUAGUGUAAAAAAGUUUCUAAGUUAACUCUAAGUUUUAAAUGGUUAUCAGAACACAUAUAAGAACGUAAUUAUUAAAAAAAGAGAAAAGUUCGUUACUUCUUUGAUUCAGAGAAUAACUUUUUUUUUUGUCUGACUGGUGCUAACUGUCUCUUUAUCUGUAUUUUAUUUUUUUUUAUUGGAACGAUUUAUAGUAAUAAUUGUAUAAAGAGGCCAAAGUUACAUAAUAUUAUUCAUACUAAUAUUAUAUAUCGUAAUAAUAUUAUCCCGUAUUGUUAUCGUUCGAUAAAUCAAUUAUUAUACUACCUAUAGAGUUAUCUUACAAUCUUACAACGUGUUGCAUUUUUGCACGACAAAUUAUUCAAGAAUUAACACGUCGAUACUCACGUAAAAUUUCUCCUUGCAAAAAGUAUUUUUAAUCUCAUGUACAUUUCGUACAAUGUCACUCUAUAUAUACAUAUAUGGAUCUACAGUAUAUGUAUAUAUAUAUAUAUAUAUAUAUUAUUUUAUCUUUGUGUACACAUGUCAGAGCGCUAUAACUAUUUAAUCGUAAUAAUAUCAAAAUUAUAAUUAUUUAAUCAUAAUUUAAUCAGAAAUAAUAUCACAAUCAGAUUUUAUUUUUCGAUAAUGAAUUCAAGAGAUUCAAAUUAAAUUUAAAAUUUUAUUUCUCGAUUCUAUAUACUAUUUUACAAAGGCAUGAAUGUUUUUACAAUUAGAAUCAAAAAUAAUCGCAUGUGUACAUAAUAUAUGGAAUACAACAAGUGAUAGCAGCAAAAAAAGAAUUCGAAAAUAUACAAGUAGACAGAUUAUUAUAUGUUCAUGUUAUAUAUGCUUCGAUAUUGAGAAAAACAUAUGUUCGAAGAAUAUAUUCUGCGUCAAUUUCUUUAUAUUCAGACUUUUUGAAACGAAUUUUUUUUAUGAACCUCAUAUACGAAAUUCAUACUCUUUUUUGCUUUCUUCUUUACUAUUUUCCACGAAGUACAAAUCGACAGACUAUAUUAUUAUUAUUAUUAUUAUUACUAUUAUCAUUAUUAUUAUUAUCAUUAUUAUUAUUAUUAUUAUUAUUAUUAUUAUUAUUAUUAUUAUUAUUAUUAUUAUUACUAAGUAGAUUAUGAUCGCAUGAUAAGAAAUAUACACACGUAUGCCAAUAUAAUUCGCAUUACGUACGACUGGUUCGUGCAUAUUAAGAGAAAAAAAAAUACGUAUGUACAAUCUUUAAACAUUUAUGUCCCAAUUAUACAUCCAAAGAGACAAAUAUUCAAGAAACGAGAUUUUGUUUGUAGGGACGUCAUAGCAUAAUGAUAGUUAAUGUGAGAUGAUCAUGAAAUCAUAAAAAGAAGGAUGGUAUUGAGUUUAUAGAAUAAUGAGUGCAAUUAGAAAUUUUUUUGAUAGAACCACUACUUGAUCGCUCAAGUUUCAAGUUGUUAUGAUCCAGUUGGUCAUCUUUUAGUCUGUCUUUUGCUGGAUAUCGACGUCAACUUUCCUCCCUCGUAGAGUCAAAGAGCUUCUUCAUCCUUGAUAGCACCUUUCACAAUACAAUGGAGUCAGAGUGUUUAAUAGACAUUAUUACAUGGAAUCUUAACAAUUGAUCGUUAUUCUUUGAACAUAUAUUCUUCUGCUGUUUAUUUCUCUUUUUAACGUUGUUGUAAUCUUUUUUAUCAUUCUAUGUAUUCGGUCAUGAGAUUUCGUCAUUCAUUUUCAUUUUGAAUAUUUAAUUGUAUUUUAAUUGUAUUUGUCUAAGUUAUUUAUUCUUUUGCCUAUAUUUUUUUAUAUGGCAUAUAGAGAAUUUUUAUAUUUAUUAUUCAUUUUAAAAUUUUAAAUUUUAAUUUCGAAUAUGUACAAAAUGAUUUCUGGAAAAUCGGUGGUUCUACCGAAUUUUUUUUUUUUUUAUAAUAAAUAGAUUAUAAUAUAGAAACAUAAUUAAUAAUUUAUAAUAGGAUAAUCAAAGAUUUUGGAUUUUCUAAGCCUUUGAUAUAAAAAAGAAAAUGGACAAGAAGAAAGUGUCAUUGUGAAAUAGUGUAUGAUUGUGUAGAUCUAACUUGUGCCGAAAGUGUUCAUCGAUCAAUCUAUUUUGUACUUAACUAUUUAAUCGAUUACAAAUUCAUUCUGUUCGAUAUUAAUUUUAUUGACACAUUUUUUUUAUUUUUGUAAGUAGAUAUCUUCGACAAAUAAGUUACCAAGUAAAAUUUAGUAGAAGGAUAAAGCACAUCUUUCUUUUUAUAAUAAAAACAGAAACAAAUUUUUUUGUAAUUUUCAACAGUUUAUUUAUUUAUUAAAUCAGCUUUUUGUCAUAUUUAUUUCAUUAACCGAAUAUUUUGCUAAUUCCAGUGAAACAAACGAAAAGCUAAGCACAAUCUAUUUAUAUAUUAUUGCUCUUCGCUGUACAUAUGAUUUCUUUUUCAUCGUAAUAUAUCUUCAAGAAUUGGUCCUUCUAAUUUAUUGUACUAUAUCUUGUACUUGAUUCAUUCCAGAUAUUGUACAGAAUUCAUUGCUGAUUAAUAAAAUUGACUCACGGAAGAAUAUUUCGAACGACUGAAUAUAAGAGUAUAGAAGAAAGUAAAAAAAAAAAAAAAUCUCUUUAAUAUAUUAUAUAUAAUAUAAUUAUAUUAAUUUUACACAGAUAUAUUAAAUGGGAUUAAUUUAAGCAAAAUAUAACAUUCAACAAUAUUCUAUAAAAUGCAAUUAGAACUUUCCUAAUUUUCUAUAUAUAUAUAUAUUUAUUGAACGAUUAUUAUAUUAUAUAUGUAUAUAAAUAGCAACAGAUAAAAUGUAACAAGUUCGACGAACCGAGAUGAUGUGCUAGUUUAAUUCGCAUUUCAUCCAAGAAGAACUCGACUGUCAUAUUUUAACCAAUUGCAUAGCUAAUGUGUAUAUUGCGUUCAUGUUAAAAAAAAAAAAAUUAAAACUUCUUUCAUGGAAGCAUAUUAACAAUUUUAGAUUAUUAUAUCAAUUCUAUUAAGAGAUAACGUAAAUAUUUAAAUAAAUUAUCUCUUAUAGAUCAUUGAAUAAAUUCUAUCAUGUAUCCAAUCUUUAAAUGCUUCUAUAAAAGAAUUGAAAAUGAUAUUAUUCAAAUAACGUAAAUAAGCUUAAGAAGUAUUCAUUGCUUAAGCUUCCACUUACGGCAAAAAAUUAAUAUAUUAAUAAAUGGAGAAUUUUAUUUUAAAGCGUUGAUGCAUUGAUGCUUCUCCGUUGUAAAAGCAAAUGUACAAAUGUAUACAUGUUUAUAUAUACAUCAGAGUGUUAUUUAAAUAAUUAUCAUAUUAUAAUUAAUUUAUAUUAAGUAUCGCGAUACGUGAUCAUCUCAAUUUGAUUAAACUUGUACAAGACUUAUUACAAAACUCAUUCUAUUUACUGUCUUGAGACUAGUUAAAUAAAUAUAUAUACAUAUAUAUAUAUUUGUACUUUACAACAGAGAUCAUUAAAGAAUGCAUGCAUAUGAAACAUAAUAUAAAAAAAAAGAAAUGUACAAUUUCCUCUUGAGAGCCGUAAGACUGAUAACUUAACGCGGGUACAUAGAGACUGUACAUAUUAAUAAUUCGUUGUAUGACAUAGGUCAGAGUUACGAUAAAACUUAUCUUGUGGAUAUUCAAUAUGCUACUUAUAAAAUUUAUACAUAUAAUAAUGUUUCGAUUCAUUUCUAUGAACAAAUAAAUGAUCGCAUUAGGUUUUAUCGAAAUUCUCCUUUAAUGCGAUUCAGAUUUAAGUUCACUUGUCAAAUUUGCUUAAGCUUUGCGAGGCGAUAAAAAGUUCCCUUCUACAUAGAAAACAUAUGGGCAUGAUAUAGUAUGUAAUGUAUCGAUAUAUCAUCAUUUUCUAAUUUUAUUUUGUAUCGUAUUUGUUUUCUUUUUUUUUUUUUUUUUGUUUAUAUAGUAUGUACUCUUUUCUUCAAUUUUAGUAUCCACAAUUCGAAAUUAAUUUAGAUUUUUAUUAUUCUUAUUAUAUAUUAUUCUUAUUAUUAUUAUUAUUAAUUAUUGAUAUUAUUUGUAUAAAUAAUUGAUAUCAUGAAUUGACUACACGAAAUUAAAUUUUUUAUUAAAUAAGAUACAUAUAAUAUCAAGUCCUGAUUUGCUAAUGUGUUAUAUGUAUAUAUAUAUAUAUAUGUUUAGAAUAUAUUAAAUAAAAUAAGUGGGCAUCAUUUUGUGUACCGUGAAAUUCAUUAUUUUUAUUUAUGUAUAUUUAAGUAAAAAGAGAAAUGUAAUUACAUCAUCGAAAUAAAAUAUAUAAACUAAACAUAUAAGCUUCGAAAAUUGUUAUUGAAUGAUUCAUAUUGAUAAAAAUAUACGUAUAAAAUUUA
Apis cerana (Asiatic honeybee) is the source of this 6914-nucleotide RNA transcript. It is a transcript of the gene named Glycogen binding subunit 70E, with no coding region annotated. The record is from RefSeq and is a predicted model, not a curated record. Lineage: Eukaryota; Metazoa; Arthropoda; Insecta; Hymenoptera; Apidae.